AGAAUCAACGCUGGCGGCGUGCCUAACACAUGCAAGUCGCACGAGAAAGGGUAGCAAUACCUGAGUACAGUGGCGCACGGGUGAGUAACACGUGAAUAAUCUACCUCCGAGUGGGGAAUAACUGAGAGAAAUCUUAGCUAAUACCGCAUAAUACCCACGGGUCAAAGCAGCAAUGCGCUUGGAGAGGAGUUCGCGGCAGAUUAGUUAGUUGGCGGGGUAAUGGCCCACCAAGACGAUGAUCUGUAUCCGGCCUGAGAGGGCGCACGGACACACUGGAACUGAAACACGGUCCAGACUCCUACGGGAGGCAGCAGUGGGGAAUUUUGCGCAAUGGGGGAAACCCUGACGCAGCAACGCCGCGUGGAGGAUGAAGCCCCGUUGGGGUGUAAACUCCUUUCGAUCGGGAAGAUAAUGACGGUACCGAUAUAAGAAGCCCGGCUAACUUCGUGCCAGCAGCCGC
Molecule: ribosomal RNA, 460 nt
Filed under: uncultured bacterium
Lineage: Bacteria
Description: SSU rRNA
Rfam family: Bacterial small subunit ribosomal RNA
Source: RNAcentral